GAUGAACGCUGGCGGCGUGCCUAAUACAUGCAAGUCGAGCGAACGGACGAGAAGCUUGCUUCUCUGAUGUUAGCGGCGGACGGGUGAGUAACACGUGGAUAACCUACCUAUAAGACUGGGAUAACUUCGGGAAACCGGAGCUAAUACCGGAUGAUAUUUUGAACCGCAUGGUUCAAAAGUGAAAGACGGUCUUGCUGUCACUUAUAGAUGGAUCCGCGCUGCAUUAGCUAGUUGGUAAGGUAACGGCUUACCAAGGCAACGACGCAUAGCCGACCUGAGAGGGUGAUCGGCCACACUGGAACUGAGACACGGUCCAGACUCCUACGGGAGGCAGCAGUAGGGAAUCUUCCGCAAUGGGCGAAAGCCUGACGGGGCAACGCCGCGUGAGUGAUGAAGGUCUUCGGAUCGUAAAACUCUGUUAUUAGGGAAGAACAUAUGUGUAAGUAGCUGUGCACAUCUUGACGGUACCUAAUCAGAAAGCCACGGCUAACUACGUG
RNAcentral lists this ribosomal RNA (497 nucleotides) under uncultured bacterium. Its description in RNAcentral is "partial 16S ribosomal RNA". It matches the Rfam family "Bacterial small subunit ribosomal RNA", at positions 28 to 507 of the family's 1533-position model. The record is from RNAcentral.